Molecule: long non-coding RNA, 616 nt
Organism: Bradysia coprophila
Lineage: Eukaryota; Metazoa; Arthropoda; Insecta; Diptera; Sciaridae
Source: RefSeq, a predicted model, not a curated record
UUAGUGAUUCGCUUGGCACAGAUACAUUGUUUGCAGAUCAGUGAAGAUAUAAUAUAUUGUAAAUGGUUGAGACUCAGCAUUGGAAAUAAAAAUACGCUAAAUAUACGUUCCAAUACUUUAAUAUAUUGCAUAGCACGUGUCGGUUGUAUUUAACGGAUUGUACAUAUCGCUUUAUCACGAUGAAUUAUAAAAUUAUUGUGCAAAAGAUGCAAUUUCGCAUUCAUUUAAUCUACAGGCAAUUACUACUGAAAAAACAUCUACGGGAGUAAUUAUUCCAUGUCGCUGUUAUGUAUACCUGAAUUGUAGUUAGAAAUCUUUUCCAGAGACUGUCAAAGAUUAAAGGACCACAACCAAAGAAUCAUUUUGGAUGGACAAUUGGAUUCAUUUCGAAGUGUUUUUAUAUCUAAAUUAUUUAUUUAUUUAUUGAAUUAAAGAAGAGAAUUUUGUUAUCUCAAUAUAAAUAUGCUUGAGGCUUGUUUCAACUGUUAAGAAUAUGUUGUGGAUUUUCGGUGUUUAGAUGUUGCCGUCGUAAAAACAGGUUGAAUGAAUGAUUGUGAUAAAGUUUGUUAAAAUUCAAGGUUUUUGCUAUAUUUAAUUUAUGCGCUUAUGAAUGAAA